This 744-nucleotide ribosomal RNA is filed under the name uncultured bacterium. RNAcentral describes it as "bacterial SSU rRNA". It matches the Rfam family "Bacterial small subunit ribosomal RNA", at positions 8 to 796 of the family's 1533-position model. The record is from RNAcentral.
AGAGUUUGAUCAUGGCUCAGAGCGAACGCUGGCGGCAGGCCUAACACAUGCAAGUCGAGCGGCCGUAGCAAUACGGCAGCGGCAGACGGGAGAGUAACACGUGGGAACGUGCCCUUUGGUUCGGAACAACACAGGGAAACUUGUGCUAAUACCGGAUAAGCCCUUACGGGGAAAGAUUUAUCGCCAAAGGAUCGGCCCGCGUCUGAUUAGCUAGUUGGUGGGGUAACGGCCCACCAAGGCGACGAUCAGUAGCUGGUCUGAGAGGAUGAUCAGCCUCACUGGGACUGAGACACGGCCCAGACUCCUACGGGAGGCAGCAGUGGGGAAUAUUGGACAAUGGGCGCAAGCCUGAUCCAGCCAUGCCGCGUGGAUGAUGAAGGCCCUAGGGUUGUAAAGUCCUUUCGGCGGGGAAGAUAAUGACGGUACCCGCAGAAGAAGCCCCGGCUAACUUCGUGCCAGCAGCCGCGGUAAUACGAAGGGGGCUAGCGUUGCUCGGAAUCACUGGGCGUAAAGCGCACGUAGGCGGCUUUCUAAGUCAGGGGUGAAAUCCUGGAGCUCAACUCCAGAACUGCCUUUGAUACUGGAGAGCUAGAGUCCGGAAGAGGUGAGUGGAACUGCGAGCGUAGAGGUGAAAUUCGUAGAUAUUCGCAAGAACACCAGUGGCGAAGGCGGCUCACUGGUCCGGUACUGACGCUGAGGUGCGAAAGCGUGGGGAGCAAACAGGAUUAGAUACCCUAGUAGUCC